This 574-nucleotide long non-coding RNA is filed under the name Mus pahari (shrew mouse). RNAcentral describes it as "lncRNA (MGP_PahariEiJ_G0012448.1)". Lineage: Eukaryota; Metazoa; Chordata; Mammalia; Rodentia; Muridae. The record is from RNAcentral.
GUAGAACUUCUCUUUCAUCUCUAGAGUAGAUUCAGAACAUCCACUAGAGGGCAAACAUCUUCUCUAGUUUCCUGUCACCAGAUACUUAGGUGGCACAGAUGUCUGCAAGGCCGUUCUUGUGUCCUUGAGCCGCUCUGCCCCAGCACUGCCUGAAGCCCAUCUGUAGCCCAUCUUCCAGUCCCUGAACAAUUAAAGGCCAUAGGCUCAGAGUUGGUUUUGAUCAGUUUCUACCCAUGCAGGUUCAGGCAAGCGGCGGCACGCCUCAGAGUGAGCAGUUGCUGUGGCUGCUCGCUGAUCUCAUCGAUCUCAUCACCGGACUGCCAUCUGCUAUUGUCCCGAAGCCUGAGACUUGGCCUCCUGCCUCAGAAGUUCCUCUGGCUCCUUCACACCAUCUUCUGUUUACUAGUCUCCAUAGACAACUUUAUUUCUCAUUUGCUUAAGCAACUAGUUUUUUCUUCUUCUCUUUACACUUAGUUCCUAAUCUUCCACCCUUGUAAAAAGCAAUUUUAUGUUUAAAAUGUCUUAUUUCUGUGUAUUAUAAUAAAUUAUAUUAAUAAAAUUGGAUUUUAAAAUA